AAACUGCGAUACGUAGUGUGAAUUGCAGAAUUCAGUGAAUCAUCGAAUCUUUGAACGCAAAUUGCGCUGCUGGGCUAUUCCCGGCAGCAUGCUUGGCUGAGUAUCAUCUGGACAAAUCAAUCGUGUUUUCAUGAUUGGAAUUGAGGAUUUAUGUCGCAAAGCAAUUUGCGUCCCUUCAAGUCUAGUAUGGUAUUGGCAUGAUUUUGGUAAUCUCUAUGCAAAAUUCACUUUGUCUUUUACCGUUCCAGUGUGUUAAGUGUUUCUUGCAAGCAAUUGCAUGACAAAACAUGAGCACUGAAUAUAGCGGUAAAUGUUAAGUGAAAAAGCAAAACAAAAUUUUGAUCUCAGCUCAAGCAAGACUACCCGCUGAAUUUAA
Molecule: unclassified non-coding RNA, 376 nt
Filed under: uncultured fungus
Lineage: Eukaryota; Fungi
Description: sequence contains ITS1
Rfam family: 5.8S ribosomal RNA (bases 1-106)
Source: RNAcentral